GGGCCUGAGGUGCGGGUACGCACUGAACAUUCCAACCGUCCCCAGCCGGCCGGGUUUCAGGUUUGAAAAGGUGGGAAGGUUAGCUGUCCUGGCGCUUUUCCUCCACGUGUUGUGCGGCUCCGCUGGAGUUCGGGUCCAGCACCUUCUACUCCGAGGGAGAGAGCCGCGGGGAGAGCCCUGUUCGGGCCCGCGGCUCGAACUGACCGCCGGCUCUGCCGAGCAGCCUCGACCCCAGGGCACCCCCGGGAGAGAGGGCGCGGCUCAGGUCCCUGCCCGAACCCCUGGGGUGCUGAGAGACUCCCCAGCGCCCCGCGUGGGCUCCCGGCCUCUCCACAGUUGAGGAUCCUGUAAGGGGCGAGCCCUUUUUCCCAUAAUGGCUGUAGUGAGUGGGUGUGCUUUCCCGAUUGACCCGCUGUGAGAAAUGUGGUUUACAGCUUCUAUCAGGAUUAGCUUCAGCUUCAAGUGACAAAAGUCACUUGAAAUAUGAGUUGCUGAAACAAGAUGGCAGUCUCUCCCCUCAACAGGACUGUUACAACACCUUAUCUUCAGAGAACCAGGCUCUCUGCAACAUUUCAGGGACGUCGUUCAGUACCUUAUGUGGAAUUCAAGCUUAGCUGGGCAUCCUAUGUUUUAACUGGCUAACUCGUGGAACUCUCAACUUGGAUCAAGUGGUAGUGGAGUCCCAGGGACUCUGAGCAGCCAGUGUGUGAUACUGCAGGGCAGCACACCCUGGGGAGGCCAACUGUACAGAAUAAAAUUAAUGCUUUCUAUCUUUAGCAACUAAAGUUCUGAAAUAUAAAAAGGACCUCACAGCUUAACCCAUGUUAUACGGUGGGGUUUUCCCAUGAACAUCACGCGUUUCCAGCUGGGCACUCCUGCAGCAUGGCUAAGAUGACAACUCAAGUUCCCUGGGAGUGGGGGUUCCUGGGAUGUGAACCUUUCGGUGCAAAAACUGGAGAAGUUCCAGUUGGGACCCCAGGCAUAGAUACUAGGAUAAAUAGGGCCUCUCUCCUCCAGGAGCAUCAAUUUAACCCAAAGAUUCUUGGAGUCAGUUUCACAUAAGUAAUCUUGUUGAAAAUAGUAAUCCCAACAGAUCUAUUUUUCCAAAUGCACCAUUUGCAUAAAUCUCAGAAAAAAGACAACUUCAAGAACAUACCUUUGCUGGGCACCAUGGCUCAUGCCUGUAAUCCCAACUACUUGGCAGGCUGAGGCACGAGGAUCACUUGAGGCCAGGAGUCUGAGAUCAGCUUGGGCAACUGAUUUAUGGUUUGGAUUUGUGUCCAUGCCCUUCCUCUUCUGCCAUGAUUAUAAGUUUCCUGAGGCCUCCCUAGCCAUGCUUCCUGUACAGCCUACAGAACUAUGAGUCAAUUAAACCUCUUUUCUUUAUAAAUUACCCAGUCUCAGGUAGUUCUUUAUAGUAAUGUGAGGAUGCACUAAUACAGCAAUAUAGUGAGAGCUCCAUCUCUACAAAUCUUUUUUAGAAAGACAGGACAUCCUGCUGGUUCUGCUGUGAGGUGUUGUGGGUGGAAGUUCAAGCAGCGCUGCCCUAAUACAUCCACAUAUGCUCCUGGCCAUUAUUCUUAUCUAACCUACGGUGCCUGGGACACAUCCCUUUCCUCAUUGAUUUUGGCAGCCGCUUCGCCCCAGGCUGCCUAGGGAAUCUGGCAGAUGUCCCCAUCCUGUAUUGUGCCUUAAUCCGUGCACUCUUCCUGGUGCAAGUGAAUCACGUGUUCCAUCUCCACAGCUGCCCAUCUUUCUUCACCUUGGGUUCAUUCAACUGAUGGGCUAAAACAGCUCAUUUUCAACCUGGGUUUUGUUACACCACUGCACACUGGGAAAUUCUUAAAGCCAAAUCAAUGUCAGUUCAGUUUCAAAGCAGAUAGGUAAGUUGUCCAUGGCAGAAGGAAAGCUGACUUACAUUCAAAC
This 1926-nucleotide long non-coding RNA is filed under the name Homo sapiens (human). Its description in RNAcentral is "HSALNT0274531". The record is from RNAcentral. Lineage: Eukaryota; Metazoa; Chordata; Mammalia; Primates; Hominidae.